This 209-nucleotide long non-coding RNA is filed under the name Lathyrus oleraceus (garden pea). RNAcentral's name for it is "Pisum sativum (pea) long non-coding RNA (PSAT_LNC020889)". The record is from RNAcentral. Lineage: Eukaryota; Viridiplantae; Streptophyta; Magnoliopsida; Fabales; Fabaceae.
UGAAAUCCUCCCCGUCCAUAGUUGUAAGCAACAAAGCACCGCCUGAAAAGGCUCUCUUAACAACGUAUGGACCUUCGUAGUUUGGAGUCCACUUGCCCCUGGAAUCGGGCGCGAAAGACAAGACUUUCUUGAGCACGAGGUCACCUUUUCGGAACACACGAGGCUUGACCUUCUUAUUGAAAGCUUUCUUCAUCCUUUGUUGAUAUAAC